RNAcentral lists this ribosomal RNA (497 nucleotides) under uncultured bacterium. RNAcentral describes it as "partial 16S ribosomal RNA". It matches the Rfam family "Bacterial small subunit ribosomal RNA", at positions 28 to 507 of the family's 1533-position model. The record is from RNAcentral.
GAUGAACGCUGGCGGCGUGCCUAAUACAUGCAAGUCGAGCGAACAGACGAGGAGCUUGCUCCUCUGACGUUAGCGGCGGACGGGUGAGUAACACGUGGAUAACCUACCUAUAAGACUGGGAUAACUUCGGGAAACCGGAGCUAAUACCGGAUAAUAUAUUGAACCGCAUGGUUCAAUAGUGAAAGACGGUUUUGCUGUCACUUAUAGAUGGAUCCGCGCCGCAUUAGCUAGUUGGUAAGGUAACGGCUUACCAAGGCAACGAUGCGUAGCCGACCUGAGAGGGUGAUCGGCCACACUGGAACUGAGACACGGUCAAGACUCCUACGGGAGGCAGCAGUAGGGAAUCUUCCGCAACGGGCGAAAGCCUGACGGAGCAACGCCGCGUGAGUGAUGAAGGUCUUCGGAUCGUAAAACUCUGUUAUUAGGGAAGAACAAAUGUGUAAGUAACUAUGCACGUCUUGACGGUACCUAAUCAGAAAGCCACGGCUAACUACGUG